GAUGAACGCUGGCGGCGUGCCUAAUACAUGCAAGUCGAGCGAACAGACGAGGAGCUUGCUCCUCUGACGUUAGCGGCGGACGGGUGAGUAACACGUGGAUAACCUACCUAUAAGACUGGGAUAACUUCGGGAAACCGGAGCUAAUACCGGAUAAUAUAUUGAACCGCAUGGUUCAAUAGUGAAAGACGGUUUUGCUGUCACUUAUAGAUUGAUCCGCGCCGCAUUAGCUAGUUGGUAAGGUAACGGCUUACCAAGGCAACGAUGCGUAGCCGACCUGAGAGGGUGAUCGGCCACACUGGAACUGAGACACGGUCCAGACUCCUACGGGAGGCAGCAGUAGGGAAUCUUCCGCAAUGGGCGAAAGCUUGACGGAGCAACGCCGCGUGAGGGAUGAAGGUCUUCGGAUCGUAAAACGCUGUUAUUAGGGAAGAACAAAUGUGUAAGUAACUAGGAACGUCUUGACGGUACCUAAUCAGAAAGCCACGGCUAACUACGUG
Molecule: ribosomal RNA, 497 nt
Filed under: uncultured bacterium
Lineage: Bacteria
Description: partial 16S ribosomal RNA
Rfam family: Bacterial small subunit ribosomal RNA
Source: RNAcentral